Molecule: long non-coding RNA, 459 nt
Organism: Hemibagrus wyckioides
Lineage: Eukaryota; Metazoa; Chordata; Actinopteri; Siluriformes; Bagridae
Exons: 3
Source: RefSeq, a predicted model, not a curated record
UCCAGAGAGUGCCGAGGGAGCGGUUCUGUCACCAGAAGCUUCCGGAUAAACCCCGUGGACUUGGAAUCGCAGUACAAAGAGCUGCUGAACUUGCAGGAGGUGAAGACGAACGUCCUGCAGGUUCACCUGAACGCUGGAGCUGAUCCGGCCGGUGGACGGCGGAGCGUGUAAAGCGCAGAGGGAGUACCAGCUCAUGCGCCUCAUGCUGGACCACACACAGGUGAUGGAGUGACGCUUUUUUCACCUUCAACUGUAAAACCGUCUACACAUCACUGUGCAUGGACACUUUCUUUAUAUUUUUCUACAUCUCAACAUAAAGCUUCAGGCACCUGCUGUGAACAGCGAGCUCUCUGACACUCAGGUAUUUAAAUAAAAAGCCUUAAAGUGUGUGAAGACCUCAGCAGAAACCUGCUGGCGUUUCUCACUGUGUGUGUGUGUGUGUGUGUGUGUGUGUGUGUG